GGUUGACUGCCGGCUAAAAAGUCGGAGGAAGGUGGGGAUGACGUCAAAUCAUCAUGCCCCUUAUGACCUGGGCUACACACGUGCUACAAUGGGCGGUACAAAGGGUCGCGAACCCGCGAGGGGGAGCCAAUCCCAAAAAGCCGCUCUCAGUUCGGAUUGCAGGCUGCAACUCGCCUGCAUGAAGCCGGAAUCGCUAGUAAUCGCGGAUCAGCAUGCCGCGGUGAAUACGUUCCCGGGCCUU
This 241-nucleotide ribosomal RNA is filed under the name uncultured Anoxybacillus sp. RNAcentral describes it as "partial 16S ribosomal RNA". It matches the Rfam family "Bacterial small subunit ribosomal RNA", at positions 1143 to 1382 of the family's 1533-position model. The record is from RNAcentral. Lineage: Bacteria; Bacillati; Bacillota; Bacilli; Caryophanales; Anoxybacillaceae.